RNAcentral lists this non-coding RNA (27 nucleotides) under Mus musculus (house mouse). Lineage: Eukaryota; Metazoa; Chordata; Mammalia; Rodentia; Muridae. The record is from RNAcentral.
UAAAAUUGGAUGUCUAGGAUAAUGAUU